This 788-nucleotide ribosomal RNA is filed under the name Gallowayella borealis. RNAcentral describes it as "SSU rRNA". It matches the Rfam family "Eukaryotic small subunit ribosomal RNA", at positions 81 to 878 of the family's 1831-position model. Lineage: Eukaryota; Fungi; Ascomycota; Lecanoromycetes; Teloschistales; Teloschistaceae. The record is from RNAcentral.
GUGAAACUGCGAAUGGCUCAUUAAAUCAGUUAUCGUUUAUUUGAUAGUACCUUGNUACUUGGAUACCUGUGGUAAUUCUAGAGCUAAUACAUGCUAAAAACCUCGACUUCGGAAGGGGUGUAUUUAUUAGAUAAAAAACCAAUGCCCUUCGGGGCUCCUUGGUGAUUCAUAAUAACUCAACGAAUCGCAUGGCCUUGCGCCGGCGAUGGUUCAUUCAAAUUUCUGCCCUAUCAACUUUCGAUGGUAGGAUAGUGGCCUACCAUGGUUUCUACGGGUAACGGGGAAUUAGGGUUCUAUUCCGGAGAGGGAGCCUGAGAAACGGCUACCACAUCCAAGGAAGGCAGCAGGCGCGCAAAUUACCCAAUCCCGACACGGGGAGGUAGUGACAAUAAAUACUGAUGCAGAGCUCUUUUGGGUUUUGCAAUUGGAAUGAGUACAAUUUAAAUCCCUUAACGAGGAACAAUUGGAGGGCAAGUCUGGUGCCAGCAGCCGCGGUAAUUCCAGCUCCAAUAGCGUAUAUUAAAGUUGUUGCAGUUAAAAAGCUCGUAGUUGAAACUUGGGCCUGGCUGGCCGGUCCGCCUCACCGCGUGUACUGGUCCGGCCGGGCCUUUCCUUCUGGGGAGCCGCAUGCCCUUCACUGGGUGUGCCGGGGAACCANGACUUUUACUUUGAAAAAAUUAGAGUGUUCAAAGCAGGCCUAUGCUCGAAUACAUUAGCAUGGAAUAAUAGAAUAGGACGUGUGGUUCUAUUUUGUUGGUUUCUAGGACCGCCGUAAUGAUUAAUAGGGA